UCUGUCGCCCAGGCUGGAGUGCGGUGGCGCCAUCUCCGCUCACUGCAAGCUCCGCCUCCCGGGUUCCCGCCAUUCUCCUGCCUCAGCCUCCCGAGCAGCUGGGAAUACAGGCGCCGCCACCUCGCCCGGCUAAUUUUUUUGUAUUUUUAGUAGAGACGGGGUUUCACCGUGUUAGCCAGGAUGGUCUCGAUCUCCUGACCUCGUGAUCCGCCCGUCUCGGCCUCCCAAAGUGCCGGGAUUACAGGCCUGAGCCACCGCGCCCGGCCGGCAGAAUUCUUUUUAGGGGAGGAAAAAUGAUUCAGCAAAGCAUGUAAGAAACCAUUUGGCCUUUCGGAAUGUUCGCCCUCAGAAUACGGCUUGAUAAGCCAGAAGGGAGAUGCAGAGACACGUCUCUGAGAGCUCAUGGGGGUGUUUAGGAAGGAGAGAGAAGGACGUCUGGAGAGAAAGAAGGGGCUCAGGAAAACGGCGGAAUGCUGGAGGCCACAUCAGAAAGCUCAUCAAUGCGGGGAGGAGCCGAGAGCAGGUAGGAGAAUAUCUGAUGUAAGCCACAAAGUUUUACUCACAAAUCGCACACCAGAAGUCUGGAGAUCAGCAGUCCCAGAGGUGGUUCAUGUACUGUUUCCACGGCGUCAGGGCCCAGGAUCAGCUGCUCUUGGCUUUCCUUUUACUGAUGCCAGCUCUGUGCAGCUGCAGCACGUAGCACCAAGUCCUCACAAGGCAACAUCCAAGCUAGGAGGUGGGGAGAGCUCUCUCCUUCUAUCACAGAGGAGUAUCUUUCCCCAAGUGUUCCAGAUCUCAGUUGAAUCACAUGCCUGCCUCAAAGGAGCAAAGAAGGAAUGAGAUUUCCAUGAUUCAUUUAGCUCAACCACGAUUCGUUCCUGGGCACUGGACAUCAAGCCAGAUGCGCCCAGAACACAACUGGCUUUCAGCUAGCAAGAGAGGUGUGGAAUGGAAUGGCUGUGAGGAAAGCAAACCAUGGCCUCUGUCACCCAAAUGCUCUCUGGACACUUCAGAAUGGGCAUUCAAAUGAUAAUACCAGCGCUCUGUAUCUCACAGCACUUCACAGUUUGCAAAGCGCUCAUGCACAGUGUUUCAUUCGAUUCUCGCCACCACCAUGUGAGAUGCAAGAACAGCUGUUCUUCUCCUUCUUUGGUAGAGAGGGAGACUGAGGACUGCAGGCAGUGAGUGAUUCACCCAUAAUUUUGCAGCUUCUCAGAGCUAGAAAUAGAACAAGGGCUUCCGACACGGACGUCCAAUAUCUUUUCUACAAUUCCUUCCAACGAGCACGUGUGGGAUAACACUGGCAGCUCAUAGAUGUAGUUGCCCUGUAAGUUCUGUGUGAAUUUCCUCCAUGGGAUGAUGCCCUGCAUGCUCCCAAUAGAUGUAGAGUGAUAGGUGCUGUGUGGCUUAGCAGAGGCAGCUGCGGAGGAGUGAGUGGUGAAGCAUUUUUACACAGACACGUCUUGUGCAAACUAAGCAAUGCCUGGACAGAGGAUGAUGUCCUGUGAUGAAGCAGCAGAUGGAGGCUGCAGAUGUGUGAAGGCUGUGUUCAGCCCACGUGGAAUCCAAGAGCUCCACAAGGCAUCGCGGCCGUCCAACUUCCUGUCAGAAUUGGCACCGAGACGAGCUCCAGCUCCUAGCUUACUCUUAAUUUAAACCAAAUAAGAGAGAGGAGAUGACUUGAAGGAAGCAUCUGGGUGCACGGACACCAGAGGAAAGCAGGAGAUUGAAGGCAGCGGGAGUUCCCAGGAUUUACAAACGGAUCCUCUUGUCAUUGCUUGCCAUCUGGUCCUGUGCCUGGUCCCCACCCCUCACAGUCAGCUGGAAAGCUGUCUGAUAAUGCGCUCAGGUGGGCUUCGCUAGCAGCAGUCUACGUUGGAAAGUAGUUCCUUUCUGGAAAGUAGUUUGGAAAUAUAUAUCAUGAUGCAUGAAAAUGUAAGACCCCUUAAACCGUGGACCCCAUUCUUGAGACUUCAUAUAAAAUAAAGGAAAUAACUAAAAUGAAGGUGGCCAGACAUGGUGGCUCUCAUCUGUAAUCCCAGCGCUUUGGGAGGCCGAGGCUGGCGGAUCACUUGAGGUCAGGAGUUUGAGACCAGCCUGGCAAACAUGGAGAAACCAACGUCUUUACUAAAAAUACAAAAGUUAGCCUGGCGUGGUGGUGUGCGCCUGUAAUCCCAGCUACUUGGGAGGCUGAAGCAUGAGAAUCACUUGAACCCAGGAGGUGGAGGCUGCAGUGAGCCAAGACUGCACCACUGUGCUCCAGCCUGGGCAGCAGAGAGAGACUCCAUCUCAAAAAAUAAAUUAAAAUAAUAAAAUAAAGAGAAAUGAAGGGAAAAAUCUGUGUGUAUGGUGAUGGCUGUUAUUUUGUUGUACAUAUGCAAGUGAAGAGGCAGAAGCAACCUAAACCUCCAACAGCAGCAACCCUGUGGUCUACUUAAUGGAAUCUAAGCCAUUGUUAAGAAGUAGAAUUAUGAGGAAGAUGAUGCAUUCAACAAAUGUUUAUUGAAUACCUCUAAUAUGCCAAGCACUGUAUUGAAGACCGAAACAGUGAACAAAGCAGCCCAAAUUCCUGCUUUCUCCCAGUAUGCUCUAGUGUGAAUGGCAAAGGAGAGCUGAUGCAACAAGAAAAGAGGUGAGGAUCCGAAUUAAGUGAAAAACACAGAGGAGAAAAAUUACACCUAGGACAUGACUCUUUCCAUGCAAUGUGUUCAAUUCCACGAACAAGGAUUGAAAGGAAACCAGGACAAAUAAAGACAGCUGAUGGAAUGAUGUGGCUCUGAACCAUUUUCUUUCCUUUACUGUUUUUCCAAUGUCUUUAGUGCAAUAUUUAAAAAGGAUCAAAAUAAGAAAAAUCAUCUGGUAUUUUUAGCAUGUACUCUCCUGUUUCAAAAAGAGGUAUAUUUAUCCAACUUUGUGGAAGCCAAAGAAAAUAUAUAAUAAAAACAUGUUUGUUGAAAGAAGGGAAGCCUGGGUGUGGUGGCUCAUGUCUGUAAUCUCAGCACUUUUGGAGGCUGAGGUGAGAGGAGUUUGCUUGAGUCCAGGAGUUCGAGACCAGCCUGGGCAACACAAUGAGAUCCCAUCUGUACAAAACAUUAAACAAUUAGCCAGGUAUGGUGGUGCAUGCCUGUGGUCCUAGCUACUUGGGAGGCUGAGGUGAGGACAGCUUGAGUCCAGUAGGUGGAGGCUGUAGUGAGCUGUGGUCAACUCACUGCACUCCAACCUGGAUGACAGAAGGAGGCCUGACCACCACCCCCAGAAAAAAGGAAGAAG
RNAcentral lists this long non-coding RNA (3270 nucleotides) under Macaca mulatta (Rhesus monkey). RNAcentral's name for it is "lncRNA (ENSMMUG00000053692.1)". Lineage: Eukaryota; Metazoa; Chordata; Mammalia; Primates; Cercopithecidae. The record is from RNAcentral.